AAGGAUCCUUCUCCUUCUCCUCUUCCUCCCCGAUUCAGCCAGCGGCUUCUCUGUAUGUGAAGCCUGGAGCUGGUCGCCGUCGCCGGGUUCAAGCCAAGUCGCCUCUCGGCCUCCCCGCUUGCUUCAAUCGGCGCCUGCCAGGCCUCGUCGCCGGUCCGUCAUUGGAGGAAAUAAGCCAUCGGGCUCCUCGCUUACUGGUCUUAUCUUGAAAGUCCCUGCAUCUCAUGGGGAAAACACAGCAUAUCCACCUGGUGGUUCGUGACUAUAUAGAGCUGAUCUGCCAGCUUUCAUCCUCAAUUUGUCAGGAGAUGUCACAAUUCAAUUUGUGACAUUUGUGCUUCACUCCCACGAAACCAGGUCAACAAAGCCAUGAGACAAGAGACACAAAAGUUCUGUAUUACAAGCUUUUAAGCCCAAUAAUGGAGAACCAACUUGUUUGUGAAGGACACUGCCUCUGUUCAUAUGGUUAGACUUUGUUUUCUUUUGGGGGGGGGAGUUACAGGGGGAGAAUGUGUAAAACAGAAUUGAUUUGCUGUCCUUAAACCAGCAAGAGACAGAAAUGACCCAGUUUCCCUUGCCUCUCUGCCUGCUCCCAUUCUCCAGUUGUAGGUUGUCUUCGUGACGGCUGGUAUACAUUUUUUAAAAUAGCAUGAAAAGACAAACCAGGCCUAUAUUAAGUUUGACGGCAUUUGCAAACAGAGGAAAGAUAAUUGAUUUGGAGGAACCCCAAGGCGCUAAAGAAGUUGAAAGUCAUGCAAGGAUUCAGAUACAUGUUAUUAUGUUGCUUAAGCACCACAUCAGAGUUAAACUUCAAAUAUGAUGAAUUUCACAGAUUUUACCAAUAUAAAGUGCUUUCAGAUGAGGCUUUUAUCGGACCAUCACUUUCUCCUAAACAGAAUUUUAUGGCAAGAACAUGUGGGAGAGAGAGCCAGAUGCUAUUCACUGGGUAACUACCCACAGUGGGUUGUGUUAUGAGAACCUGGGCCACUGCCCACAGGAUGGCUUGUUUGUGAGUAACAAGCCACAAUAUACCGGCAAUGGGUUGUCAUGUCAUCCAUACCUGGCUGUUCCAGCCAGUGCCCAAGUGGCCUUGAGAACUACCAUCACUGGUUCAUUCUUCUCUGUGCCAAGUCUGCCUCAUUUGCAAUCACCGUGGCUUAUUUCCCACUUUCCCUCAUUUGUUUUGUAAUCACUUUUUGUGAUUUGAAAAUGAAAGCCAUUGACAGUGCUCAAAGUUCCCAAGCUACUCUGUAAAAAAGAAAAAAAAAGGUUCCUGAGAUUUGUGCAACUUUUUGUGUUUGUUUUGAUUUAAUAUGCAGAGUUCAUGGCUGCAUAUGUCCCUCUCAAAACACUCUGAUUAACUUAGCCAAAAACCCCAUUAUAAAAUACACUCUAAGUUUUGACAGCUGUCAAAACUGUCUGUAAACAGGGUGACUAGUACUUUUCCACUUUCCCAAAUCUUGGAAAUGAGUGGAAAGAGUGGCAGUCAUUAAGAGUAGUGAGGUCCAAAACAAAAAAGCUAAAGGAUCUUACUGUGAAGGAGGUGAUCUGUACACCUGCUUCAUGACUUCAGGCCUCGAAGCUUUGCUUCUCACUUGAUUGCACAUCAUUUGACAGCUGUCCUAUGAGAAGCAAAGCAGCAGAUCAAUCUAUUUAUAACCUAGAUUUGUCAAUGUCCAUGGAGGGUGUCUCCUGUACUUUGACAGGAUACAGCUUCUAGUUUGACAGGAGACAUUGUCUUGCUCUUUGAUGAGGAAUAGCUGUGCAUUUGGGAUGGCUGGAGUUGUGGAAAUGCUACCAACUCCUGCAGGGAAAAUACACACACACACAUUUGGCGGGGGGAAAGAAAGGUGGCAAGCCAGCUACUCCAAUGUGCAGCUUGGACAAUUUCGGGAAAAAGGGGAGGGGAUCAAAGGGAUACAAGUCACAGCAACUGUAAAAGGGGCUGUGGUGAGUGUGGAGAGAAAAGGUCCAGCCGCAGAGUAUCCUCAGACAUCUGCAGGAGGACUGAAAGGGAAGGAGUGGGGGGCAACCCACAGUAAGCUCAGACUUCUGUGGUUCAACCCAUAUUGCAUAGGACUUUUUGCAGGGUCGGUUGUCAUGUCCCCACAUGACCAUUAUCUUCCAUUUGCAACCCUCCUGUAUUUUCCCAUGACUCUUUCCGUCUUUUUCCUUACUGAGGAAAAUCCAUUAAAGAUGGAAGUCAUUGGUCCAGUUGUAUCCAUAAAUUUCUACACUCAGGCAUGCUUUAAAAGUGUGGACUGGACCUUAUAUGAAAAACUUGGCUGCCUUUUUAGUGGCAAAGUGGGAUAGCCAUUUAAUUAACUCAUGUCGUGGCAUCUGUAUAAGAAACAAGUUGCAGCCCUAUUUACAUGGGAGUUCGUCUUAUAGAAUUCAAUGGGGUUUGCUUAAGAAUAAUUCAUAGGACUGCACUGUUCAUCUGCCACUGAGUAAAUUCACACUUUGUGGGUGCACGUGUGCUUUGUUCGAAAAGAGGCCUACAACUCGCAGUGUGUCCCACCAAGCCGUGAUUGCGCCUUCCUUUGUUUAGAGCAUUUCUGUUGUAGUAUUUGCUAAAGCAACUUUCAUGACAACAAACAGAAAAUGUUAAAAUAUCUUAUUUUAAGCAAAUGCAUCCACAAAUACCAAAUAAAACACUACUAAGAGGA
Long non-coding RNA from Varanus komodoensis (Komodo dragon), 2669 nucleotides. RefSeq lists it as uncharacterized. NCBI's taxonomy places the organism in Eukaryota, Metazoa, Chordata, Lepidosauria, Squamata, Varanidae. The transcript is spliced from 3 exons. The record is from RefSeq and is a predicted model, not a curated record.